GACGAACGCUGGCGGCGUGCUUAACACAUGCAAGUCGAACGGUAAGGCCCUUCGGGGUACACGAGUGGCGAACGGGUGAGUAACACGUGGGUGAUCUGCCCUGCACUUCGGGAUAAGCCUGGGAAACUGGGUCUAAUACCGGAUAGGACUCCGGACUGCAUGGUCUGGGGUGGAAAGCUUUUGCGGUGUGGGAUGGGCCCGCGGCCUAUCAGCUUGUUGGUGGGGUGCUGGCCUACCAAGGCGACGACGGGUAGCCGGCCUGAGAGGGUGACCGGCCACUCUGGGACUGGGAUACGGCCCAGAGUCCUACGGGAUGCAGCAGUAGGGAAUAUUGCGCAAUGGGUGCAAGCCUGAUGCAGCGACGCCGCGUGAGGGAUGACGGCCUUCGGGUUGUAAACCUCUUUCAGCAUCGACGAAGCGAAAGUGACGGUAGGUGCAGAAGAAGGACCGGCCAACUACGUGCCAGCCGCCGCGGUAA
RNAcentral lists this ribosomal RNA (478 nucleotides) under uncultured bacterium. RNAcentral describes it as "partial 16S ribosomal RNA". It matches the Rfam family "Bacterial small subunit ribosomal RNA", at positions 28 to 523 of the family's 1533-position model. The record is from RNAcentral.